Molecule: non-coding RNA, 417 nt
Organism: Durio zibethinus
Lineage: Eukaryota; Viridiplantae; Streptophyta; Magnoliopsida; Malvales; Malvaceae
Source: RefSeq, a predicted model, not a curated record
AGAAGCAAGGACGUUUGGCUUCUUUCCCCAGCUUAAGUGAAUUCUAAAAUUGAAAAACUUCAACCCUGCAAUUGGAGCAAGAAAUGGAAACUAUAAUCAAGGUGUUACAACUUGGACCUUUCACCUUUGGGAAUCAUCGAGCACAAAUUGUCCGCCGCCCAAAUUCGCGGGGCAAACGCUACGGUUCAUAGAGCCGUCGAGAAUUGGCGGAGGAAUGCAAAUGUAGAGCAAAGAAAUGGCAUUCUGAAAGAUUACAUUCACCGCUUUGCCAAAAAGGGGCAGCUGCAUGGAUGAAAUCAGUUCAAGAUCUUCAUCAAUAGGACUCGACAAUAAUAGUAAAUUCUACCUAUGGGACAUUAUAACACAAACCACUACUGGAAACCAUACAGGAGUAUCAAUACCUCUUCGUCGGUAGGC